CGGACACAACCCGCACUCCCAUCAAGCCGCCGCCGAUCCUGGAGCUACCUCCAUCCCUUCGGCGCCGCCGAUCCUGGAGCCCCCUCCCGCGCCAACGCUCCAGGCGCACGGCCGCCUCCACGCGCCGUCCGGGCCGCUGCGCCCACGUUCCAGGCGGACGGCCGCCUCCACUCGCCGCCCGGACCGCGGACCGCCGCGCUCACGUUCCAGGCGGAUGGCCGCCUCCACUCGCCGCCCGGACCGCCGACCGCCGCGCCCACGUUCCAGGCGGACGGCCGUCUCCACUCGCCGCCCAGACCGCCGACCGCCGCGUCCACGCUCCAGCCGAACGGACACGUCCUCCACGCGCCGCCGGAAAUCCACCCUGCAGGUCUCAGAUUCUGGUUGCAAUGACAUUUUUUUGUUUAAUUGUUCGCAUGUUCAAUAACACAGGGGAAGGUGGGAGAGGGCGCCAUCGGCAUCUCUGUCCUCCUCUACUUGGUGGCCGCCAUGUACGCGGAAGACCACGAGGUCGCCGGGUCCGUCGCUGGCUGACCGAAACAGGGUACCCAGAUCCUGCCGUCGGUCGCGAGCCUCGCCGUCUACCUUCACCAGCCACCCCGAACGCCAUUUGUCCGGCUGGGCGGGGAUGGAGCGACGAUUCGGAGAUGUAGCAGAGCGCUUGGCGGCAGCUGCUCUCGGCACGCGACGGCGUGCCCCACAUCCAGAGGCUCGCCUCGGCGCCCACAUCGUCCUCCUACUACUUCUCGGUGCCGCUGACCCGGCGGGUGCCAAGGGAGGUGACGUACAUCCAGAGCGUCUGCGCGCAGAUGAACCGGCUCUGGUGCUCCAUCCCCGCCAGGCGCAGCGCGAAAUCUGGAAGAGCCAGGGAUGCUGUCCAGCUGAUGCUUGGUAUCGACUCGAAGUUCAUCAUCCAUUGUAUUGAGGAUCUCUCGAUGAUGAUCAGCAGUAUUGCAAGUUCGGCAGAAAUAAGUGAAUACUGGUCAGUAUAAUUAUAUGAAGAUAAUAUUGGGGUACAAGAUCAUUUCCUAUUUUUCAUGGAGUUAGAGAACAAGAUGGUGCGUUGCAUGUUGCACAUUCAGUAUUGCUGCAUAAUUAGCAGGUGAUCUUUAGACAAGUGAAUGUCUAACUGCCAUUGUCAAGUCACAGUGAGAAGAACAACGUUUACAGCCUGUGGAGUAUCUUCCAAGUUAGAUAUACCAUCCCGCAAGGUCAAGAUUUACUGAAAUGGAUUAUACUUAGAGUUGGGACGUCACCUUACUUUUAACAUUUCAAACAGUUUCCCUUCUCUAGGUAUGGGUGUUUCUCAAGCUGUCGCUCGAGUUUCUCAUCAUGCUCUGCAAUUAUAUUUUCUACCUCUUCAUGAUCAUUGUCCUGACAAGCGAAGUCCAAGAUGGGUAGAUUGUCGUACAUUCGCUUGGUAUCUGGUACUUAAUUACUUGCUUACUCUUAUUACUCCCUCCGUAAACUAAUAUAAGAGCGUUUAGAUCACUAUUUUAGUAAUCUAAACGCUCUUAUAUUAAUUUAAAGAGGGAGUACUUGACUGCUGAGCUCACAAUCAGAAGUUCAGAACCACAACUUGAUGAGAACAUUCUGAGCUAACUAAAUAUAGUGUGCUUCUCUUUUUAUUCUACAUUCUUUGGAAUACUAAUUAUAGCAUGGGAAGGUAUGAUCUUGAUGGCCCUCUCUGCUGCUAUCAGGUCAGAUUAGUUACAACUACAUGUAUAAACUGUUACUCUUUGCUCAGAUAGUUCUUAGUAGUGCAUUUUCCCAGUCACAAAAUUUUCCUUUAUACCCAAGGAUAAGUUAGAGCAUAAAAAUGAAAUCAGAAACUGGGGUGGAUAUUGUUAGGAAGGGCAUAUUGUUGUACAUCUAUGCCUGCCUGCACUAUGCACCAUUUCAUUCACGCGGGAAGGUAUUGUAACAUCCGAAAUAACAAGCUAGCUGAAAAGACAUGCAUACUAUUGACUUAACGGUUGUGAAACUCAAAUAUUUGGAGUUGCCCCAAAGGGAAAUAGAGGUUCAGAGUUACAGUGGAAGCCACCACCCACUGAAACUGCAACGAGUUGACUGGGAAAAACCACCUUCAAUAUAUAAGAGUUCCUUCUUACACCUACACUAUAAAAAAAAAGGAGUAUGAAAAAGUCACCUUGGAUCAUAAUUCAAGGAAUCUAUUACUCUUUGCUCCGUUCUACUUAAAUUACAUAUUGUAACAAUUAACAUGUUAAUGUGUGUCUGGUUAUGUCUUGCCUUGCUACUUGGGUGCCACCGAUGUCUGCUUAUUGUCUUCCAUGCAAAUAAAAGAAUCCAAAUACAUCAGGUCUCUUAAUAUUUGUACCUACUACUGAUAUUUGUUUCUUUUUUGGCUGAAGCUCUCAAAGGUGUAGCCUUCAAGCUUUACAAUAUGGGUUGGGAUUUCAGAGAUGAUUUGUGCAUUAUAAUUGUAAUUUGGAUAAUUUCUUGGUUUGAGGAACAUAACUGCAACUCGAGUGACUGAGCACAUGCAACACUGCAGGCGUACACCUUGAAACAGACACCUGAUGGCCUGGCAAGUUCUACUCCUGAAAUCAACGUCUAUGGCUUGAGUAAGUGUCAGCGGCAUCCCUAGGUCCGACAACAAUCAUGCGAGAGCAAUCUGUGGUGGUAGAUUUCUGCAUGAUGUAUCUUGAAUAAGGAGUAUCCUGCUAAUUUUGCAAGACA
Molecule: RNA transcript, 2700 nt
Organism: Triticum aestivum (bread wheat)
Lineage: Eukaryota; Viridiplantae; Streptophyta; Magnoliopsida; Poales; Poaceae
Exons: 3
Source: RefSeq, a predicted model, not a curated record